This 394-nucleotide ribosomal RNA is filed under the name uncultured Pseudomonadota bacterium. RNAcentral describes it as "bacterial SSU rRNA". It matches the Rfam family "Bacterial small subunit ribosomal RNA", at positions 668 to 1060 of the family's 1533-position model. Lineage: Bacteria; Pseudomonadati; Pseudomonadota. The record is from RNAcentral.
UUCGCGUGUAGCAGUGAAAUGCGUAGAGAUGUGGAGGAAUACCGAUGGCGAAGGCAGCCCCCUGGGAUAACACUGACGCCCAUGCACGAAAGCGUGGGGAGCAAACAGGAUUAGAUACCCUGGUAGUCCACGCCCUAAACGAUGUCAACUAGUUGUUGGGGAUUCAUUUCCUUAGUAACGUAGCUAACGCGUGAAGUUGACCGCCUGGGGAGUACGGUCGCAAGAUUAAAACUCAAAGGAAUUGACGGGGACCCGCACAAGCGGUGGAUGAUGUGGAUUAAUUCGAUGCAACGCGAAAAACCUUACCUACCCUUGACAUGUAUGGAAUCCUGCUGAGAGGUGGGAGUGCCCGAAAGGGAGCCAUAACACAGGUGCUGCAUGGCUGUCGUCAGCU